CACCUGGCCCACGGCGGGAAAAUGGUGGCGUUUGCGGGUUGGAGUCUGCCAGUGCAGUACCGGGACAGUCACACUGACUCGCACCUGCACACACGCCAGCACUGCUCGCUCUUUGACGUGUCUCAUAUGCUGCAGACCAAGAUACUUGGUAGUGACCGGGUGAAGCUGAUGGAGAGUCUAGUGGUUGGAGACAUUGCAGAGCUAAGACCAAACCAGGGGACACUGUCGCUGUUUACCAACGAGGCUGGAGGCAUCUUAGAUGACUUGAUUGUAACCAGUACUUCUGAGGGCCACCUGUAUGUGGUGUCCAACGCUGGCUGCUGGGAGAAAGAUUUGGCCCUCAUGCAGGUAUACCCCCUCUGUGUUCUAGGCACCUUGUCUUCCUUGUUCAUAGAGCAGCAUCCUUGUUAUCCAAGACAGGGUUGGCACAGACAAAGGACCUGGAAAAUGGCUCUUUCAGUGAAUGAACAGCUAUGAGACUCAAGAGCAGGCCCUCUCUGGAGCAUGCCAGGGUUUGGUGGUGGGGGAUUACCAGGCAUGGGGAGGGGGUCUUGGCCCCUCUGGUGUGAGGUGGCAGACCUGGGCUUGGGUCAUCUCUAUCACUUAGUAGCUAUGUGACCUUGUAAGAUGGGAACCAGCCUACUACCUUUUUUUCCUCCCUCCUCCUCCUCCUCUCCACUGUCUUACUACUGUCCAGCUCUGCAGCGUCCAGCCCAUGGUAGCUGCUCAGUAAGUGGCCCCAGAUGCUCUUGUGUUUCUGUCUUUUAGGACAAGGUCAGGGAGCUUCAGAACCAGGGCAGAGAUGUGGGCCUGGAGGUGUUGGAUAAUGCCCUGCUAGCUCUGCAAGUGCUGUGAUGGAGGUGUUUGGCGUGUCUGGCUGCCGUGUGACCCGCUGUGGCUACACAGGAGAGGAUGGUGUGGAGAUCUCGGUGCCGGUAGCGGGGGCAGUUCACCUGGCAACAGCUCUUCUGAAAAACCCAGAGGUGAAGCUGGCAGGGCUGGCAGCCAGGGACAGCCUGCGCCUGGAGGCAGGCCUCUGCCUGUACGGGAAUGACAUUGAUGAACACACUACACCUGUGGAGGGCAGCCUCAGUUGGACACUGGGGAAGCGCCGCCGAGCUGCUAUGGACUUCCCUGGAGCCAAAGUCAUUGUUCCCCAGCUGAAGGGCAAGGUGCAGCGGAGGCGUGUGGGGUUGAUGUGUGAGGGGGCCCCCAUGCGGGCACACAGUCCCAUCCUGAACAUGGAGGGUACCAAGAUUGGUACUGUGACUAGUGGCUGCCCCUCGCCCUCUCUGAAGAAGAAUGUGGCGAUGGGUUAUGUGCCCUGCGAGUACAGUCGUCCAGGGACAAUGCUGCUGGUAGAGGUGCGGCGGAAGCAGCAGAUGGCUGUAGUCAGCAAGAUGCCCUUUGUGCCCACAAACUACUAUACCCUCAAGUGAAGCUGGCUCAGGGUGGGGCUGUCCCUUCCAGAAGUUUUGCCCCUACAAGGGGUUAGUCAAGAAGCUGAGGCAGAACUCACUGGGGGUGGGCAGUUAAGGUGGAGGCUGAUUCUAAUUGUCUGGCUGAGGGGCCACACCACCUAUUCCCCCCACCUAACUCAUGCCACUCCAGCUUCCUUCAGGACCCUGCUUCUGAGUGACGGACCAGCUCACACAAUGUCUUGUUUCAGUCCAUGAUCCCACUGACCUACUCUUGCCUGCUGGAGGGUAAUGAGAAGCUUUGGUUCUGCCAUCUCUCCCACUCUGCCAGGUGCUGGCUGUGGAGCAAAGGCUCACCUUUGUGGGGAGGAUAAAACCUGCCCAACCUACCUCACCAUGGUUUUUCACAUUGCAAACGGUAAUAACAUGGGCAGUGUGGACUUAGGCUACCCCCUCCAGUUUGCUUUCCGUAAAUGCAAAUUGUCCCUACUGCAAGUCAGGAAUGAUUGCCGACUCACAGUAGGGCUGCUAUGCCUGUGUGUAAACUUGGGGAUGGCUGAGGGAACACAGACUCACUCUUCCGCAUUCCCAAGUUGGUCUAGUGUGCUGCCCAGUAGCAAACCAUGGCAGGCUCACCACCUAUUCUGAGCUCCAGGGCUGUUGUAGGGCAGGGUGGGCUUCCUCCCAGACUUGCCUUACCCUGGGCUGAUCUUUGCCCCUGGUAUGCAUUAA
RNAcentral lists this small RNA (2150 nucleotides) under Pongo abelii (Sumatran orangutan). RNAcentral describes it as "retained intron". Lineage: Eukaryota; Metazoa; Chordata; Mammalia; Primates; Hominidae. The record is from RNAcentral.